This 447-nucleotide ribosomal RNA is filed under the name uncultured bacterium. Its description in RNAcentral is "bacterial SSU rRNA". It matches the Rfam family "Bacterial small subunit ribosomal RNA", at positions 355 to 825 of the family's 1533-position model. The record is from RNAcentral.
UCGGGAAUUUUGGGCAAUGGGCGAAAGCCUGACCCAGCAACGCCGCGUGAAGGAUGAAGUAUUUCGGUAUGUAAACUUCGUAAGAAUAGGAAGAAUAAAUGACGGUACUAUUUGUAAGGUCCGGCUAACUACGUGCCAGCAGCCGCGGUAAUACGGAGGAUCCAAGCGUUAUCCGGAAUCAUUGGGUUUAAAGGGUCCGUAGGCGGUUAGAUAAGUCAGUGGUGAAAGCCCAUCGCUCAACGGUGGAACGGCCAUUGAUACUGUCUGACUUGAAUUAUUAGGAAGUAACUAGAAUAUGUAGUGUAGCGGUGAAAUGCUUAGAGAUUACAUGGAAUACCAAUUGCGAAGGCAGGUUACUACUAAUGGAUUGACGCUGAUGGACGAAAGCGUGGGUAGCGAACAGGAUUAGAUACCCUUGUAGUCCCUGAGCGGGCUGGCAAGGCGCAU